This 396-nucleotide ribosomal RNA is filed under the name uncultured Leifsonia sp. RNAcentral describes it as "bacterial SSU rRNA". It matches the Rfam family "Bacterial small subunit ribosomal RNA", at positions 958 to 1354 of the family's 1533-position model. Lineage: Bacteria; Bacillati; Actinomycetota; Actinomycetes; Micrococcales; Microbacteriaceae. The record is from RNAcentral.
AACGCGAAGAACCUUACCAAGGCUUGGCAUACACGAGAACGGGCCAGAAAUGGUCAACUCUUUGGACACUCGUGAACAGGUGGUGCAUGGUUGUCGUCAGCUCGUGUCGUGAGAUGUUGGGUUAAGUCCCGCAACGAGCGCAACCCUCGUUCUAUGUUGCCAGCACGUGAUGGUGGGAACUCAUAGGAGACUGCCGGGGUCAACUCGGAGGAAGGUGGGGAUGACGUCAAAUCAUCAUGCCCCUCAUGUCUUGGGCUUCACGCAUGCUACAAUGGCCGGUACAAAGGGCUGCGAUACCGUAAGGUGGAGCGAAUCCCAAAAAGCCGGUCUCAGUUCGGAUUGAGGUCUGCAACUCGACCUCAUGAAGUCGGAGUCGCUAGUAAUCGCAGAUCAGCA